Molecule: ribosomal RNA, 617 nt
Filed under: uncultured Basidiomycota
Lineage: Eukaryota; Fungi; Basidiomycota
Description: LSU rRNA
Rfam family: Eukaryotic large subunit ribosomal RNA
Source: RNAcentral
CCUCAAAUCAGGUAGGACUACCCGCUGAACUUAAGCAUAUCAAUAAGCGGAGGAAAAGAAACUAACAAGGAUUCCCCUAGUAACUGCGAGUGAAGCGGGAAAAGCUCAAAUUUAAAAUCUGGUGGUCUUUGGCCAUCCGAGUUGUAAUCUAGAGAAGUGUUACCCGUGUCGGACCGUGUACAAGUCUCCUGGAAUGGAGCGUCAUAGAGGGUGAGAAUCCCGUCUUUGACACGGACUACCGAGGCUUUGUGGUGCGCUCUCAAAGAGUCGAGUUGUUUGGGAAUGCAGCUCAAAAUGGGUGGUAAAUUCCAUCUAAAGCUAAAUAUUGGCGAGAGACCGAUAGCGAACAAGUACCGUGAGGGAAAGAUGAAAAGAACUUUGGAAAGAGAGUUAAACAGUACGUGAAAUUGCUGAAAGGGAAACGCUUGAAGUCAGUCGCGUUAGCCGGAAAUCAGCCUUGCUUCUGCUGGGUGUAUUUUCUGGUUGACGGGCCAGCAUCAGUUUUGACCGGUGGAAAAAGUCUAGAGGAAUGUGGCAUCUUCGGAUGUGUUAUAGCCUUUGGUCGUAUACAUCGAUUGGGACUGAGGAACUCAGCACUUGUGCUUAGGAUGCUGGCC